UAAAUCGAUUACAAAGUGGAAUUGAGGUAAUGCUUUUCUAUGCAUUUGAGUUCAAAAACAUGUAUUUGUUGUCAGAAAAGUUGUGUAAUUACAUAUCCUCUGGGAUUUUGACUUAGUUAAGGAACUCAUUAUCUUUCCUUGGACUUGGGAUCUCAUACUGCUUUUUUUAGAAUUUCAAUUAAUUUCACUAAUUUAGGUUGUGUGAUAAUUUCAAUGUUUACAUUGCAUUUUCUUUAAUUCAAUCUGAAUUUCAGGAUACUGCAUCAGUUUCUGAAAAUCAGGAUGCGACUUCGUUGUUGUAAGGUCCUGUUGAUGAGUCCAAAAAUCACCUCCCUGAUAUUCUCUGUGUUAUCCAGGCUUGUUUCUUUUUUAUGUGACACACACACCAGUAUUUACACACCAGUAUUUAAGGAUUGGUAAUCUUUUUUAGAAAUUGAAUGACUUUGGUCUUAUUAUACAUUCGUGAGGAAGGUAAUCAAAAAAGAAAGAAGAUGAGUUCUUUGUUUUAUCACUUAGGAGCAGUGUGAGAUGAAAGUCUUAUGCAUGGUUUUGAAUGAGAGAAACAAGUGAGGAGAUGUCUGCAACUCUUUUCUGUUACUGCAAACAUUAUUCUAUUGUGACUUCUUUGACAUGACAUGAAUAUCCAUUUCGCCCCUUUAUACAUCCUUUUGGUGCAAUGUUUUCUCCUCUUUAACCAGACUUCCAUAUCAAUCAAAUACUAUUGUUGCUAGAGUUCUGUCCUCUUCAUAAUAAACUAUAACGUGGAACAUUUGCUAAGCAUAAUAGUUUGGAAAAAUAAGUAUGUUCUUGAAGGAAAUAGGCUGUAACAUGUUAAAAGACACCUGCUUGCAAGGGAAUUGGCUCUAAAUUAAGAAGUUAAUUUGCAAGUGAUCCAUACAUGUUUUAGUUUUUGUAAUGUAUGUUCUACAUGCCUUUAGGGUAGCAGAGUCUGUGAUUUUCUGCAGUUCUUGACAUUGGCAUGGUGUCAAACUGUUGGUUGAGGAAUAAGUUAUUGGGUGUUGUUUGUUGUGUAAAUCCGUAUCAGCAAUGAAGUAUCUUUAUUUUUCGUUAUUCAACUAGAAAAUUAUGUAAUUGUCACCAUCUUUUGUCAUUUGUAUACCCAACUUGCAAUUCCAUGCCUCAAAUUUUCCUGACUCAUGUAAUGCUUGCUUGUCUCGAUGCAUCAUUAUCUGUUAAGCUCUUCGAGCUUCGGUAAUGAGGCUCACACAUGCUACAAGUCCUUUGUUACUAUAAUUUUUCCUAUUUUAUGUCCUUGUAGGGUUGAGAAGAACAAUUUGCUCACUAAAUUGAAAACCUUCUGCUUUUCAAAAGAUGUACUUGUGUGGAAAUAAGUUUUUAAAGUCUAGAAUGCUUUGGAUAGAGUGUUUGGUCCAGCAACAACUACUCGUCAUGUUUAUGAUGUUGCUGCUCAGCAGGUUGUCAAUGGUGCCAUGCAAGGAAUUAACGGUACUGUAUUUGCAUACGGUGUCACUAGCAGUGGGAAGACUCAUACAAUGCAUGUAAGUUGCUGUACUAGUUUUACGUUUGGUGCUUGUUUCCUCACCCAAAAAGGAUGUGUGCACUAGACAGU
Molecule: non-coding RNA, 1591 nt
Organism: Camellia sinensis
Lineage: Eukaryota; Viridiplantae; Streptophyta; Magnoliopsida; Ericales; Theaceae
Source: RefSeq, a predicted model, not a curated record